Molecule: long non-coding RNA, 1064 nt
Filed under: Macaca mulatta (Rhesus monkey)
Lineage: Eukaryota; Metazoa; Chordata; Mammalia; Primates; Cercopithecidae
Description: lncRNA (ENSMMUG00000060370.1)
Source: RNAcentral
CUGUAGUCCCAGCUACUUGAGGUGCUGAGGCAGGAGAAUUGCUUGAACCUGGGAGGCGGAGGCUCCAGUGAGCUGAGAUUGCGCCACUGCACUCCAGCCUGGGUGACAGAGCAAGACUCUAUCUCAAAAAAAAAAAAAAAGAAUACCAGUCAUAUUGGAUUGGGGUCCACUCUAAUGACCCCUUCUUAAAUUGAUUACAUCUAUAAAGACCCCAUUCCCAAAUAAGGGGAAUUCACAUUCACAGGUAUUCAACCUUAGAACUUCAACAGAUCUUUAUGAGGAACACAAUUUAACCCAUAACUCUAACCUAGCAUUGAAGCAUCUCAUUGGCAGAACCUCAUUCACAUCCAGCCAAGCAGUCUGGGAAACACAGUGCUAGCUUUCAGACUCUCCAAAUAGAGUGAGGUUGAAUAGAAAGAGGAGAGCCUGCCUGUGUGUCCAGCCCAGUAGGCCACUGUACAAGCACUAUCAUGUUCUGGCUGAACAGACGAUGUAAUUGUGCUACACAGAAUGAGAGAUGGUUCAGGGGAGUGGUUAGCAGCACGGGCUCUGAUGACUGAGUGUUAGCCCUUCCCCUGCUGGCUAUGAGGCCUUGGACUAGUUACUUCUGCUCUGUAAUCCUCAGUUUCCCCACCUGUAAAUGUGAAUAAUAAUCACAGCCAUUUCUCAGGGUUUAAGUGAGGGUUAAAUGAGACAAUGGACUCAAAGUCCCAGGGGCCAGGCCUACAGUAAGCAGUCUACAGAUGAUAACUUCUAUUAAAUUACCAAACUUAUUAGGUUUUUUCUGUGUCCCACCUUGGUAGAGAAUUGGAUGAACCAGAAGCAGAGACGCACUGUAUAGAAGAGUCCCCAGAAUAUUUAGAACCUUUUGUAAACAUCAGAAACUCCAAAAAUGCCAGCCAAGGUGUAAAUUUUCUGAGGCUCAGACUGCUUCCUGGCUGGAGAGAAUUUUCCCUGGUCUGCACUGUCCUUUCUGGUGCAGGGUGCCAAAGAGUGGGGAGCCCAUGAACCUGCGUGGUAGGUGAAGUAGGAACUGUUAUCCCCAUUUUACAGACUAUAUAAAG